This 253-nucleotide ribosomal RNA is filed under the name uncultured bacterium. Its description in RNAcentral is "partial 16S ribosomal RNA". It matches the Rfam family "Bacterial small subunit ribosomal RNA", at positions 524 to 776 of the family's 1533-position model. The record is from RNAcentral.
UACAGAGGUCCCGAGCGUUGUUCGGAUUUAUUGGGCGUAAAGGGUGCGUAGGUGGCGCUGUAAGUCGGGUGUGAAAUCCUGAGGCUUAACCUCGGAACUGCAUUCGAUACUGCGGCGCUUGAGGACUGGAGAGGAGACUGGAAUUCAUGGUGUAGCAGUGAAAUGCGUAGAGAUCAUGAGGAAGACCAGUGGCGAAGGCGGGUCUCUGGACAGUUCCUGACACUGAGGCACGAAGGCCAGGGGAGCAAACGGG